ACUUUCUAGAGCCGUCAAACUACAUAGAAAUUUAUAGAUAAAAGAAACGCCCAAUAAAUUAUAAUUUAUCGGCGAGACUAUGAUUUAAAAUGGCAUUAAAUGCUAAGUUUAAUCAGAUGUCUAUGGGCUCCGGUAACCACUUAACACCAGAUGGGCUGUGAGCUCGCCCACCCACCAAAGCAAUAAAAAAUAAAUAAAAAAUUGAGCGACGGCAACCACUCACUAUCAGAUGAGGCGUAUGUUCGUCUACCUACGAAAGCAACAUAAUAAAGCCUUCUACCUCCUAUGGGUGAUACUUCAAUCUUUGAGCUUUCGCUAAGUGAUGUCUAUGGGCUACGUUGAUCACUUAACACCAGGCGGACCGAGAGCUUAUUAGCGCAUCAGUCAAUCUGUGUAUAAAUCAAUCGAGUCGUUAAACAAACUUUCAUAUUUAUGUUUUUAUUACAUUAUAUAUGCGAUUGAAAAUCAACAAUAAAACAGACUUAAUUGGUAUACCCACAA
Molecule: long non-coding RNA, 501 nt
Organism: Bombyx mori (domestic silkworm)
Lineage: Eukaryota; Metazoa; Arthropoda; Insecta; Lepidoptera; Bombycidae
Exons: 2
Source: RefSeq, a predicted model, not a curated record